CUGUCCUCUCCCGGGGAGGCGGCGGCGGCGGCGGCCCCGGCUGUGCCGCAGGCUCGGCGGCGGCGGGCAGCGGCGCUGCGGCAGGGUCCCGGCGGCCGUGCCCUACGAAGGGCCUGGGCCGGGCGCGCUGGGAAGCGGCGGGGCUGGAGCAGGCGGAGGGCAGUAAAUCUGUGAGCAACUUUUUGAAGCCUGAACAUAACUCAAUCAUGUGAAAAUCAGGGAAGGAAAAAAACAAGAACCAUCAAGAUCAUCAGUGAUACCAUUUAAUGCACUUCUGGAAUGCGUUCAGAUAACACACCACGAAGGCAGAACACAGUGUGGCCAGGAGCAUGACUGGGCCACAAAUAAUUCGGUACAAUGAUCUUGCAGUGAUAUUAACAUUCUAGUUAGUCACUGCUAUUAGGGUAAACAUACUAAAAAAUGAACCACAUAAAGAAUUUCAUAACCUCAAAAUUCCAGAGACCAUGAGACACUUCGGUGUUCAUACUGCCCAUUAUGCUCUGAAUGUACAGAGAGUGUAGAAUAUGGGCUAGAUAGAAAAGGACAAAGAUACCAGCAAACAAUAUUCAGAAUCAACUCUUUAAUAAUUUAACUGUAUACUUCAGAGAGCAGAACGAUGUAAGCAACAUGGGAAUUCCCACCAACUGUGCUUUGUUUAGUUUAUUUCACUAAGCAUUUGUUUUUUUGUUGUCAAAGCAUAUAAAAACAUUAAAAGAAUCAGUUGUCUACAACUUUUAGGAUAGCAUCCAUGACAGUGGGCAGGAACCUCCCAGUACCUCAUCUUUCUUAUCGACUAUAUUGUAAUUCGGCUGAAGCAGUUGUGUAUCUGCCACAUUCCAGGUCACCUAUAGACAAGACCUACUGCGUCAACUGAUUGAGCAGCCAGGAAGAAAAGCCCUUUCCAUUAUGAAUGUUAUGACACAAGAGUUAGAUGGUUUAUUUCCUCAUUUAUCAGAAAUAGAAUCAAAUAUAAGAGCAUAAAGAAAUGAAGAGAUGCAUUCACAGUGCUAUAAAAACUUACUGAAAUACAUAAAUCUGGCUGUAGAAGGGGCAUUAUUUCUCUGGUAGCUACCCAUGUGUAUAUGGGAAUGGAGACUACUGGAAACAAGCAGAGUUGAAUAAAUGAUUUUUUCACA
This 1136-nucleotide long non-coding RNA is filed under the name Gallus gallus (chicken). Lineage: Eukaryota; Metazoa; Chordata; Aves; Galliformes; Phasianidae. The record is from RNAcentral.